UACGGAGGGAGCGAGCGUUGUUCGGAUUUACUGGGCGUAAAGAGCGCGUAGGCGGUUUGGCAAGUCAGAUGUGAAAACCAUCGGCUCAACCGAUUGGACUGCAUUUGAUACUGCCUGACUUGAGUUCAGGAGAGGGGAGCGGAAUUCCCAGUGUAGCGGUGGAAUGCGUAGAUAUUGGGAAGAACACCUGUGGCGAAGGCGGCUCUCUGGACUGAUACUGACGCUGAGGCGCGAAAGCUAGGGGAGCAAACAGGAUUAGAUACCCCCGUA
Molecule: ribosomal RNA, 270 nt
Filed under: uncultured prokaryote
Description: partial 16S ribosomal RNA
Rfam family: Bacterial small subunit ribosomal RNA
Source: RNAcentral